GACAGAGGUCCCGAGCGUUAGGCGGAAUCACUGGGCUUAAAGCGUGUGUAGGCGGAGUGCUAAGUACCUUGUGAAAUCCCACGGCUCAACCGUGGAACUGCUCGGUAUACUGGUUCUCUUGAGCCACCUAGGGGCAACCGGAACAAACGGUGGAGCGGUGAAAUGCGUAGAUAUCGUUUGGAACGCCAAUGGUGAAAACAGGUUGCUGGGGGUGUGCUGACGCUGAGACACAAAAGCCAGGGGAGCAAACGGG
Molecule: ribosomal RNA, 253 nt
Filed under: uncultured bacterium
Lineage: Bacteria
Description: partial 16S ribosomal RNA
Rfam family: Bacterial small subunit ribosomal RNA
Source: RNAcentral